Molecule: long non-coding RNA, 1815 nt
Organism: Anguilla rostrata (American eel)
Lineage: Eukaryota; Metazoa; Chordata; Actinopteri; Anguilliformes; Anguillidae
Exons: 2
Source: RefSeq, a predicted model, not a curated record
AAAUACACCUAUUACGACUAUUUGUUUUUGUGAGAAAAAAUUAUUGACUUUGUAUUUUGAUCGCAUUUGUACCGUAGACUUACAUGGAAACCGGAUAUGAAAACACCUAUACUGGAGCCAUCCGUAGUGGCGCUAGUGAGCAACCAAGAACUACAACACCAGGAAAUGAGCUUCAAAAACGAAGUCUGGUUUUGGCCGCUCGGUUGGCCAAAGCAACGCUAACCCUGAAUCUCGCCAAGUGUGAGUUUGGCAAAGCGACAGUAACGUACCUGGGAAAGCAAGUGGGUCAUGGCCAAGUUCGGCCAUUGGAAGCAAAGGUUGCUGCCAUUGCUGGUUUCCCUGCGCCUACUAGUAGGCGUGAGUUACGCCGUUUCCUCGAGAUGGCGGGAUAUUAUCGGAGUUUUCGUAGGAACUUCUUGUUGUUGUGGCACCCUUAACGAGUGCGCUUAGUAUUAGGAAACCUUUUAUGUGGACCUCAGACUGCCAAAAUGCUUUUGAGGCUGUUAAGCUUUUGCUAUGCAGUACGCCUGUACUCGCAGCUCCAGACUUUGCGCAACCGUUUAAGUUAGUGGUUGAUGCAAGAGCUCUAGGAGCUGGUGCAGUACUGCUGCAAGAAGAUCUAGAUGGAAUUGAUCACCCCGUCAGUUUCUUCUCGCGAAAAUUUAAUAAACACCAACUAAAUUAUAGCACCAUCGAAAAGGAAGUACUUGCGCUGUUAUUAGCCUUGCAGUUCUUCGAGGUGUACAUUGGCUCAAGUUCUACCCCUGUCGAGGUCUUUACAGACCAUAAUCCAUUAGUGUUUUUGUCACGAAUGUACAAUCAGAACCAGCGCCUUAUACAUUGGGCGCUGAUUCUACAACCAUAUAAUUUUGAUAUUCACCAUAUAUAAGGAACUGACAAUGUACUGGCUGAUACGUUGUCUCGUAGUUUUGGAUAACUAAAGCAUUUUGAAUACAUUUUGUGUGUAAUAGUGUGGUAACACAACUGUAUCUUGGCUUUAAAAAUAAAUAAAUAUAUCAUGUCAGGUGUUGAAUUGUGUAUAUGUAAGGGGGAAUUGGCACAAUGUGUGUACGCCUGUUUUAAAAGAAAGGGUAAUUAUGCACUUUGGAUAUUUUGCAUAUUUUCAAAUGGAAUGGUGUAUUACCAUGUGUGUGAACUAACUUUAAAAAAAUAAAUAAAUAAAUGUGUUAAGUUAGUUCUUGAGGGGGAAAGUGUUACGUGCCAUGUGUUUUUUUUUGUGUGGACUUCCCUGCCUUCACCUGCCAUCAUCUUCGUUGGCUGCGCCGCCUGUCAAUCACCAUCCACCAAGUCCCGCCUUCACCAAUCCCCGCCCUCUGUGUCAAUUCUGGAUCAACCAAUCAGAAUUCGCCACCACUGCUAUAUAAGCCUUGACUGUUUGCCAUGAUGGAUGGCUGACUUUCUGCUCUGUGUUGUGUUGGUAUUUGACUCUAUAUGUUAAUCAUUCAUUUGAACUUGUCUUGUUUUUGUGUACACUUCCAAGGCUUGGGACAGGUAAGACUGGGGGCUCCUGUACAUAUGCCCGUAGGCUAUGUUAUGUAUAGAUCCACUAGUACUUAGGGGUGAUUGCCAACCAAUUUGUUUUUCAGUCUGCUAGUUAGAGUAAAUAGGCUUUUGUUUGUGUACUUGAUACACUAGAUUAAAUUACUCUCUGGUUUAGCUAGCUUGUUUUUCUGUUCUUUUGGCAACAUCCAGCGUCCUUUGACCCUGGUAGUGUGUGUCUGGGUUGUUUUGUGUGUCCUGUAGUAGUUUGUUGCACCUUUUUUUGUUCAUACAGUAAAACACUCAUGCAUUGAG